RNAcentral lists this ribosomal RNA (395 nucleotides) under uncultured bacterium. Its description in RNAcentral is "bacterial SSU rRNA". It matches the Rfam family "Bacterial small subunit ribosomal RNA", at positions 28 to 425 of the family's 1533-position model. The record is from RNAcentral.
GACGAACGCUGGCGGCGUGCUUAACACAUGCAAGUCGAGCGGUAAGGCCCUUUCGGGGGUACACGAGCGGCUAACGGGUGAGUAACACGUGGGUGACCUGCCCUCAGCUCUGGGAUAAGCCUGGGAAACUGGGUCUAAUACUGGAUAUGACUCCACGGUGCAUGUCGUGGGGUGGAAAGCCUUGUGCGGCUGAGGAUGGGCCCGCGGCCUAUCAGCUUGUUGGUGGGGUGAUGGCCUACCAAGGCGACGACGGGUAGCCGGCCUGAGAGGGCGACCGGCCACACUGGGACUGAGACACGGCCCAGACUCCUACGGGAGGCAGCAGUGGGGAAUCUUGCGCAAUGGGCGAAAGCCUGACGCAGCGACGCCGCGUGAGGGAUGACGGCCUCGGUUGG